GCCAUGCGCACGCGCCGCCCCGCCCACCCAGCGGGCUCUCGGCACUACGCACGCGCCGGUGGGAGGCGAGCGAUACUGCCUCGCGCCGGGAAGACCACAGCCAGAACUCCCAGCACCACAGCUCACACUCCUAUCCCUCCACCCUGCUGUCCUUCCCCUCACCUCCCCGCAGAGUGAUGGGAACAGCCAGGUGCCUUCUGUGUUGUGACAGCUGCGUAUAUCAGACUGAGUACCAUCAUUUCACUAUCAUCUUGCACUCUCCAUCCCAGCCCCCGACUGGUUGUUGCAUCAUAGACUUGGGUCAUGAGCUCUUUGGAGCAGGGGCCGUCUUUCCAUCAUGUGCUUGUGCAACCUGGCCCGAUGGGGUGACACCACAAUACAAUUAAUAAACAAUAAUAAGAAUGAAGUUGGCAGACACACGGAAAGUCUCAGGCCCUCCAGCAUGGAGCUUCAGGGACACACACACACACACCACAUGACGUGUGACAAAGUGGGGGAUUUUCUUAAGAGUUUUGCAUACAGUGUGGGUCUCAGUUUCCCUGUGUGCUGUGUGUGUAACGAGGUGGCGGGAGAGGGAGUUUGUUGUUACAGAGGACCAGGUGUGACCUCGCCUAGCAGUUGAGACCCUGGACAACUGCUUGGAGAUGGGAGACUCUAGUGACUGGUGACCAUGAGGCCCACCCCAGUUUGGCAGUCAGCCAGUUCUGGCCAGUGGGAGGACAAAGGACUGAGGAGAGAUGAUCCCAGUGCCUGACCCACUGGUUCCAGCCAGUGGGGAACAAAGGAUGCAAACAAGGAGACCCAGGCAACCUGUUUACUUGGGACCAAAGACAAAGGACAGGAGGAGCUGUGUGGGAGAUGAUAUAGGAGGAUCGGCUGAAAGGAGAAGGCUUCUGGACUGCAGAGAGAGCAGCCAGAGCCAUCUGGAUGCAGGAGAGACCUAGAGGUACUGGGCUGAGGGAGGUUAGGCCUGAGGCUCUGAGAGUUUUCUAUGCUGUGUUCAGACACUCAAUAAACCCUUCUGGUUUAUGCUG
Molecule: long non-coding RNA, 1034 nt
Organism: Gopherus flavomarginatus (Mexican gopher tortoise)
Lineage: Eukaryota; Metazoa; Chordata; Testudines; Testudinidae
Exons: 2
Source: RefSeq, a predicted model, not a curated record